Molecule: ribosomal RNA, 491 nt
Filed under: uncultured bacterium
Lineage: Bacteria
Description: partial 16S ribosomal RNA
Rfam family: Bacterial small subunit ribosomal RNA
Source: RNAcentral
GAUGAACGCUGGCUACAGGCUUAACACAUGCAAGUCGAGGGGAAACGACGGGGAAGCUUGCUUCCCCGGGCGUCGACCGGCGCACGGGUGAGUAACGCGUAUCCAACCUGCCUCUGACUGAGGGAUAACCCGUCGAAAGUCGGCCUAAUACCUCAUGGUAUCGUCUGCGGGCAUCCAACGACGAUUAAAGAUUUCAUCGGUCAGGGAUGGGGAUGCGUCUGAUUAGCUUGUUGGCGGGGUAACGGCCCACCAAGGCUACGAUCAGUAGGGGUUCUGAGAGGAAGGUCCCCCACAUUGGAACUGAGACACGGUCCAAACUGCUACGGGAGGCAGCAGUGAGGAAUAUUGGUCAAGGGGCGAGAGCCUGAACCAGCCAAGUAGCGUGCAGGAAGACGGCCCUAUGGGUUGUAAACUGCUUUUAUGCGGGGAUAAAGUGAGGGACGUGGCCCUCAUUGCAGGUACCGAAUGAAUAAGGACCGGCUAAUUCCGUG